GCCAGUGUGGUUUAGUGGUUAGAGAGCCAGACUAGGACCUUGGAGAGCAGGGUUCAAAUCCCCACUCAGCCA
Non-coding RNA from Podarcis lilfordi (Lilford's wall lizard), 72 nucleotides. The record is from the annotation of a GenBank genome assembly. NCBI's taxonomy places the organism in Eukaryota, Metazoa, Chordata, Lepidosauria, Squamata, Lacertidae.